RNAcentral lists this ribosomal RNA (180 nucleotides) under uncultured Anoxybacillus sp. Its description in RNAcentral is "partial 16S ribosomal RNA". It matches the Rfam family "Bacterial small subunit ribosomal RNA", at positions 1203 to 1382 of the family's 1533-position model. Lineage: Bacteria; Bacillati; Bacillota; Bacilli; Caryophanales; Anoxybacillaceae. The record is from RNAcentral.
UAUGACCUGGGCUACACACGUGCUACAAUGGGCGGUACAAAGGGUCGCGAACCCGCGAGGGGGAGCCAAUCCCAAAAAGCCGCUCUCAGUUCGGAUUGCAGGCUGCAACUCGCCUGCAUGAAGCCGGAAUCGCUAGUAAUCGCGGAUCAGCAUGCCGCGGUGAAUACGUUCCCGGGCCUU